GACUGUGCUUCGGUGGCCAAGUGGUUAGAGCAUCCACCUUGGAUGUGGGAGGUCGCGGGUUCAAACCCUUGCUGAGUCA
Non-coding RNA from Potamilus streckersoni, 79 nucleotides. Lineage: Eukaryota; Metazoa; Mollusca; Bivalvia; Unionida; Unionidae. The record is from the annotation of a GenBank genome assembly.